RNAcentral lists this ribosomal RNA (468 nucleotides) under uncultured bacterium. RNAcentral describes it as "partial 16S ribosomal RNA". It matches the Rfam family "Bacterial small subunit ribosomal RNA", at positions 28 to 507 of the family's 1533-position model. The record is from RNAcentral.
GACGAACGCUGGCGGCGUGCUUAACACAUGCAAGUCGAACGGAAAGGCCCUGCUUUUGUGGGGUGCUCGAGUGGCGAACGGGUGAGUAACACGUGAGUCACCUGCCCUUGACUUUGGGAUAACUUCAGGAAACUGGGGCUAAUACCGGAUAGGAGCUCCUGCUGCAUGGGGGGGGUUGGAAAGUUUCGGAGGUUGGGGAUGGACUCGCGGCUUAUGAGCUUGUUGGUGGGGUAGUGGCUUAACAAGUCUUUGACGGGUAGCCGGCCUGGGAGGGUGACCGGCCACAUUGGGACUGAGAUACGGCCCAGACUCCUACGGGAGGCAGCAGGGGGGAAUAUUGCACAAUGGGCGGAAGCCUGAUGCAGCAACGCCGCGUGCGGGAUGACGGCCUUCGGGUUGUAAACCGCUUUCGCCUGUGACGAAGCGGGAGUGACGGUAAUGGGUAAAGAAGCACCGGCUAACUACGUG